This 435-nucleotide ribosomal RNA is filed under the name uncultured bacterium. RNAcentral's name for it is "partial 16S ribosomal RNA". It matches the Rfam family "Bacterial small subunit ribosomal RNA", at positions 28 to 507 of the family's 1533-position model. The record is from RNAcentral.
GAUGAACGCUGGCGGUAUGCUUAACACAUGCAAGUCGAACGGACUCUUCGGAGUUAGUGGCGGACGGGUGAGUAACGCGUGAGAAUCUGGCUUUGGGUUCGGGACAACCACUGGAAACGGUGGCUAAUACCGGAUGUGCCGAGAGGUAAAAGAGAAAUUGCCUGAAGAUGAGCUCGCGUCUGAUUAGCUAGUUGGUGAGGUAAAGGCUCACCAAGGCAGCGAUCAGUAGCUGGUCUGAGAGGAUGACCAGCCACACUGGGACUGAGACACGGCCCAGACUCCUACGGGAGGCAGCAGUGGGGAAUUUUCCGCAAUGGGCGAAAGCCUGACGGAGCAAUACCGCGUGAGGGAAGAAGGGUCUUGGGUUGUAAACCUCUUUUCUUAGGGAAGAACAAAAUGACGGUACCUAAGGAAUCAGCAUCGGCUAACUCCGUG